RNAcentral lists this ribosomal RNA (501 nucleotides) under uncultured bacterium. RNAcentral's name for it is "partial 16S ribosomal RNA". It matches the Rfam family "Bacterial small subunit ribosomal RNA", at positions 30 to 523 of the family's 1533-position model. The record is from RNAcentral.
AUUGAACGCUGGCGGCAUGCCUUACACAUGCAAGUCGAACGGCAGCACGGGUGCUUGCACCUGGUGGCGAGCGGCGAACGGGUAAGUAAUACAUCGGAACGUACCUUAUCGUGGGGGGUAACGCAGCGAAAGUUGCGCUAAUACCGCAUACGCCCUGAGGGGGAAAGCGGGGGACCGUAAGGCCUCGCGCGAUUAGAGCGGCCGAUGUCUGAUUAGCUUGUUGGUGAGGUAAAAGCUCACCAAGGCGAUGAUCAGUAGCUGGUCUGAGAGGACGAUCAGCCACACUGGGACUGAGACACGGCCCAGACUCCUAUGGGAGGCAGCAGUGGGGAAUUUUGGACAAUGGGGGCAACCCUGAUCCAGCAAUGCCGCGUGAGUGAAGAAGGCCUUCGGGUUGUAAAGCUCUUUUGUCAGGGAAGAAACAGCAGCUCUAACACAGUCUGCGAAUGACGGUACCUGAAGAAUAAGCACCGGCUAACUACGUGCCAGCAGCCGCCGUAA